RNAcentral lists this long non-coding RNA (1189 nucleotides) under Triticum aestivum (bread wheat). Its description in RNAcentral is "long non-coding RNA (TAES_LNC004379)". Lineage: Eukaryota; Viridiplantae; Streptophyta; Magnoliopsida; Poales; Poaceae. The record is from RNAcentral.
AGCAACACUAUAACAUCAUAAUCUUAUUCAAUUUAACACGCAGAAGACAGUAGGCUUGCAGAUGUUUAUACUUAUGUCAAAAAGUAUUAUGAAAUGGGUGUGCAAUACAACAUGGAGGCAUUUAACAGCUGUAUUUCGCUUGCCUAAAUUAUGCGAUGUUAUUUGCUGGGCCUAUUAUAUCUUCGGAGCUGAGCUGUGCUGGCACGGCAGACAUGUCGCCGACUCGCUUGAACACCUCUGUUUCCAUCCACCGGCAUAUGGCAUGGGGAACGAUGAUCUGCAUAGGCACAUGCAUCAACUGGGUCAAGUGCAAGUACAUGUAUACUAUAUCUAAGGUCAGGCUAGGGAGCUAGAGAUGAUCAACAAAGGACUAACCAAAGGCAUGUAACCAAAGUGACUGACUAAAUUCACGGACUGACAUAAGUGAGAAAAAUAGGAGGGUAAAAGAUAAACGAUACUCACAACUACAGAUUUCAAGAAGUCAGGAGUUACACAAACUUCGGAUGUUGUGCAAUCCCAGAAGGUGCCGUCACAUAGUAACUCUAGAAAAAUAUAUUGUUCCUUCCUCAUGCAUGCAUGUGGUAAAUAUAUAUGAGCUUGUAAGAAGCUUCAGAAUUUUCAGAGCAUUGUGUUGGUAUGCCUCUGACCUCAUCUUUACAAUAGAACCUGUUCUAAAAAAAUAAUGCAAUCUUCAUGUACUUCCUAAUUGUGUAUGAAAUAUUAAACUUUGCUAAUUAAACACAAUACUCACUUGGUCAUGCAAAGCAGUUGAUUUUUAACCUUUUGGGUGAAAAAAAUCAAUUAAUGUGAUUGGGUAGAUAAACAUGUAGUAAUGAGUGUCAGGGUCUCACGUAUUAAUCAAGGUGUCCUGCUCAGGCACCUUGUCGAGCACCAGGAGCCUCUCGUCGCCACGCACCGGCAGCGUCGCUCCUCUCACAAUGUAGAAUAAGAGCAGAACUCACGUUACACCCAACUACAUGGUGAUGUAAAGAUGAUGCAAGUUUCAUGACUUGAUCCUGCGCCUAUUGGGAGGCCUUGAUCUGCUCCUCCCUGCCACUGUCACCGCUAGCCAGCGCUCCCCACGAAUGAGUUUCAGCUUGCACCGACACCGGCCGAAAGCAGAGGACCCAGGCCAGUCCCUAAAGUACCAGAGGCAGGGUGGUAAAAGAAGUUUAUUGGAACACAGAAC